CGCAGCCGCGGUAAUUCCGGCUCCAAUAGCGUAUAUUAAAGUUGUUGCAGUUAAAAAGCUCGUAGUUGAAUUUCGGGAUCAAUUGAUUGGUCAUGCCUUGGUAUGUACUGGUCAUAUUGGUUCUCACCUUCUAAUGAACCAUAAUGUCAUUUAUUUGAUGUUAUGGGGAAUUAGGACUGUUACCUUGAAAAAAUUAGAGUGUUUAAAGCAGGCUUACGCUUGAAUACAUUAGCAUGGAAUAAUGAAAUAGGACAUCGUAUUCUAUUUUGUUGGUUUCUAGGAUCGAUGUAAUGAUUAAUAGGGAUAGUUGGGGGCAUUAGUAUUCAAUUGUCAGAGGUGAAAUUCUUGGAUUUAU
This 355-nucleotide ribosomal RNA is filed under the name uncultured Funneliformis. RNAcentral's name for it is "SSU rRNA". It matches the Rfam family "Eukaryotic small subunit ribosomal RNA", at positions 569 to 929 of the family's 1831-position model. The record is from RNAcentral. Lineage: Eukaryota; Fungi; Glomeromycota; Glomeromycetes; Glomerales; Glomeraceae.